GAUUCGUCACACUAUCAUUAACUGAAUCCAUAGGUUAAUGAGGCGAACCGGGGGAACUGAAACAUCUAAGUACCCCGAGGAAAAGAAAUCAACCGAGAUUCCCCCAGUAGCGGCGAGCGAACGGGGAGGAGCCCAGAGCCUGAAUCAGCAUGUGUGUUAGUGGAAGCGUCUGGAAAGGCGCGCGAUACAGGGUGACAGCCCCGUACACAAAAGCGCAUGUGCUGUGAGCUCGAUGAGUAGGGCGGGACACGUGGUAUCCUGUCUGAAUAUGGGGGGACCAUCCUCCAAGGCUAAAUACUCCUGACUGACCGAUAGUGAACCAGUACCGUGAGGGAAAGGCGAAAAGAACCCCGGCGAGGGGAGUGAAAAAGAACCUGAAACCGUGUACGUACAAGCAGUGGGAGCACCCUUCGGGGUGUGACUGCGUACCUUUUGUAUAAUGGG
This 444-nucleotide ribosomal RNA is filed under the name Salmonella enterica subsp. enterica serovar Typhimurium. RNAcentral's name for it is "partial 23S ribosomal RNA". It matches the Rfam family "Bacterial large subunit ribosomal RNA", at positions 137 to 619 of the family's 2925-position model. Lineage: Bacteria; Pseudomonadati; Pseudomonadota; Gammaproteobacteria; Enterobacterales; Enterobacteriaceae. The record is from RNAcentral.